GUGAACGCUGGCGGCGUGCCUAAUACAUGCAGUCGAGCGAACAGACGAGGAGCUUGCUCCUCUGACGUUAGCGGCGGACGGGUGAGUAACACGUGGAUAACCUACCUAUAAGACUGGGAUAACUUUGGGAAACCGGAGCUAAUACCGGAUAAUAUAUUGAACCGCAUGGUUCAAUAGUGAAAGACGGUUUUGCUGUCACUUAUAGAUGGAUCCGCGCCGCAUUAGCUAGUUGGUAAGGUAACGGCUUACCAAGGCAACGAUGCGUAGCCGACCUGAGAGGGUGAUCGGCCACACUGGAACUGAGACACGGUCCAGACUCCUACGGGAGGCAGCAGUAGGGAAUCUUCCGCAAUGGGCGAAAGCUUGACGGAGCAACGCCGCGUGAGUGAUGAAGGUCUUCGGAUCGUAAAACUCUGUUAUUAGGGAAGAACAAAUGUGUAAGUAACUAUGCACGUCUUGACGGUACCUAAUCAGAAAGCCACGGCUAACUACGUG
This 495-nucleotide ribosomal RNA is filed under the name uncultured bacterium. Its description in RNAcentral is "partial 16S ribosomal RNA". It matches the Rfam family "Bacterial small subunit ribosomal RNA", at positions 29 to 507 of the family's 1533-position model. The record is from RNAcentral.